GCGUGGAUAGUUUAGUGGUAGAAUAACUGGCUUCCAACCAGUUGACCAGGGUUCGAGUCCCUGUCUGCGCA
RNAcentral lists this transfer RNA (71 nucleotides) under archaeon. Its description in RNAcentral is "tRNA-Gly". It matches the Rfam family "tRNA". Rfam says of the family: Transfer RNA (tRNA) molecules are approximately 80 nucleotides in length. Their secondary structure includes four short double-helical elements and three loops (D, anti-codon, and T loops). RNAcentral also lists the same sequence under 1 other name. The record is from RNAcentral.